RNAcentral lists this long non-coding RNA (357 nucleotides) under Equus caballus (horse). RNAcentral describes it as "lncRNA (ENSECAG00000056001.1)". The record is from RNAcentral. Lineage: Eukaryota; Metazoa; Chordata; Mammalia; Perissodactyla; Equidae.
CAUGCCUCCAAUCUUCCAUUUUCCACCCUGGAGAAACAGUGAUUGAUUCUCAAACAUCAAUCUCCUGCCAGGGUUCACUGCGGGGCCACUUUAGAUGGGACCGAACCCGAAGCCCAAGGGCCUGCCUUCAGUUGAUGUGGUCCACAAUGGUCAGCCUCCAGGGAUGGAGAGGGAGACAGAGAAGAACGCAGAGCACAUUUGGAGGGAUAAAAGGACCCUCACGGCCCCACCCGUGAAAUGUGGAAACGUGCCCAAGUGGACAGUUGGCACUUUCAGAGCUCACCUGCGUUCCUGCCAUCAUAAUCUCCCAUGGGGAAACUGUGCUCCUUCUCAUCAUUCAACAGGCUGCUGAAUACA